Molecule: ribosomal RNA, 540 nt
Filed under: Escherichia coli
Lineage: Bacteria; Pseudomonadati; Pseudomonadota; Gammaproteobacteria; Enterobacterales; Enterobacteriaceae
Description: bacterial SSU rRNA
Rfam family: Bacterial small subunit ribosomal RNA
Source: RNAcentral
GGUGAGUAAUGUCUGGGAAACUGCCUGAUGGAGGGGGAUAACUACUGGAAACGGUAGCUAAUACCGCAUAACGUCGCAAGACCAAAGAGGGGGACCUUCGGGCCUCUUGCCAUCGGAUGUGCCCAGAUGGGAUUAGCUAGUAGGUGGGGUAAAGGCUCACCUAGGCGACGAUCCCUAGCUGGUCUGAGAGGAUGACCAGCCACACUGGAACUGAGACACGGUCCAGACUCCUACGGGAGGCAGCAGUGGGGAAUAUUGCACAAUGGGCGCAAGCCUGAUGCAGCCAUGCCGCGUGUAUGAAGAAGGCCUUCGGGUUGUAAAGUACUUUCAGCGGGGAGGAAGGGAGUAAAGUUAAUACCUUUGCUCAUUGACGUUACCCGCAGAAGAAGCACCGGCUAACUCCGUGCCAGCAGCCGCGGUAAUACGGAGGGUGCAAGCGUUAAUCGGAAUUACUGGGCGUAAAGCGCACGCAGGCGGUUUGUUAAGUCAGAUGUGAAAUCCCCGGGCUCAACCUGGGAACUGCAUCUGAUACUGGCAAGC